AUGAACGCUGGCGGCGUGCCUAACACAUGCAAGUCGAACGGGACUAUCAAGUGAUGUUUCGGACUGAACUUUUAGUUAGUGGCGGACGGGUGAGUAACGCGUGGACAACCUGCCUCUCACUGGGGGAUAGCAGCUGGAAACGGCUGGUAAUACCGCAUGCGUUCAAUGUGCCGCAUGACACAUUGAAGAAAGAUUUAUCGGUGAGAGAUGGGUCCGCGUCUGAUUAGCCAGUUGGCGGGGUAACGGCCCACCAAAGCGACGAUCAGUAGCCGGCCUGAGAGGGCGGACGGCCACAUUGGGACUGAGACACGGCCCAGACUCCUACGGGAGGCAGCAGUGGGGGAUAUUGCACAAUGGGCGCAAGCCUGAUGCAGCGACGCCGCGUGAGUGAAGAAGUAUUUCGGUAUGUAAAGCUCUAUCAGCAGGGAAAGAAAGGCCCGCAAGGGAGAUGACGGUACCUGACUAAGAAGCCCCGGCUAACUACGUGCCAGCCGCCGC
RNAcentral lists this ribosomal RNA (498 nucleotides) under uncultured bacterium. Its description in RNAcentral is "bacterial SSU rRNA". It matches the Rfam family "Bacterial small subunit ribosomal RNA", at positions 29 to 518 of the family's 1533-position model. The record is from RNAcentral.